RNAcentral lists this ribosomal RNA (652 nucleotides) under uncultured bacterium. RNAcentral describes it as "bacterial SSU rRNA". It matches the Rfam family "Bacterial small subunit ribosomal RNA", at positions 28 to 692 of the family's 1533-position model. The record is from RNAcentral.
GAUGAACGCUAGCGGCAGGCUUAAUACAUGCAAGUCAGGGGGGCAGCAAUGUCACCGGCGUACGGGUGCGUAACGCGUACACAACGUGCCCUUGAGCGGGGGAUAGCAUUGGGAAACUGGUGGUAAAACCCCAUGGUGUUGUGUUUGGGCAUCUAGACACAACUAAAGGAUACACUCAAGGAUCGGUGUGCGUCUGAUUAGGUAGUUGGCGGGGUAACGGCCCACCAAGCCGACGAUCAGUAGGGGGUGUGAGAGCAUGACCCCCCACAUGGGUACUGAGACACGGACCCAACUCCUACGGGAGGCAGCAGUAAGGAAUAUUGGACAAUGGUCGGAAGACUGAUCCAGCCAUGCCGCGUGAAGGAAGAAGGCGCUCAGUGUUGUAAACUUCUUUUGGACGGGGACAAACCACUCGAUGCGUCGGGUGCUGAGGGUACCGUCAGAAUAAGCACCGGCUAACUCCGUGCCAGCAGCCGCGGUAAUACGGAGGGUGCAAGCGUUAUCCGGAAUCACUGGGUUUAAAGGGUGCGUAGGCGGUUCGAUAAGUCAGUCGUGAAAUCGCUGGGCUUAACCCAUGCAAUUGCGAUUGAUACUGUCUGACUUGAAUCAGGUUGAGGUAGGCGGAAUGUGGCAUGUAGCGGUGAAAUGCAUA